Molecule: long non-coding RNA, 1381 nt
Filed under: Macaca fascicularis (crab-eating macaque)
Lineage: Eukaryota; Metazoa; Chordata; Mammalia; Primates; Cercopithecidae
Description: lncRNA (ENSMFAG00000048732.1)
Source: RNAcentral
UGCAUCCCUGAUUUUGGAUUGCAUGAAAAUUCCCAAUGUGCUUUGCUUAAGCUCACAGAGUCAGCUUCUAUCACUGCACUGCAGCCUGGGUGAUAAGAGUGGGGCCGUCUCAAAAACAAUAAAACAAAACAAACAAAAAACUUGAACUAAAUGCACAAGUAAUGUUUGUUUAAAUAGGAAUUUCCAGACAUCACUUCUCACUCUGCUUUUCUUUAAACAUAACUUUUAAAUUUAAUUAAUCAUAGAAACGUGGUCUUGCUAUGAUGCCCAGGCUUGACUUGAACUCCUGAGCUAAAGGGGUCCUCCUGCCUCAGCCUCCUGAGUAGCUGGGACUAUAGGCACAUGCCACUGUGCUGAGUUUUACAUUUUAACAUGUAAUGUACCUAUUUUUUUAUUUUAUGGUUAUUGUUUUCUAUGGCUCAUCUAAGAAAUUUUUGUCUAUCUACAACUUACCUUAUGUUUCCCUAUAAAAGCUUCAUACUUGGAUCUAUAAUCGAUUGCAAAUGAAUUUUGCAUAUGGUAUGAUAUGGAUAAAUGUUGUUGUGGUUUCCCAAGUGGAUAUCUAUUUAUUCCAGCAUUAUUUGUUGAAAACACUUCUUGCUGCACAGUGGAUUACUUUGGUGAAGGUAAGAGUGGGGCGAGGGUAUGGAAAAGCCAUCUGAAACUAAACUAAUGACUUAAUACUAAAAUGAAGAGGUAGAGGUAGACAUUUUAUUUUUAUUAAUUGUAUUAAUGAGCUUAAGGAAAUGGUAGCAGCUUCUUCACUCAAUAAAAAUGGGGGUUAUUCAUUCACCAGAAUUUGCUUCCAUGAACUCACAUGUAAUACACCUAAGACCUACCUGGUAACUAAGUCAACUCAUUUUUUUGUUCCAUACUGUUGCCUGCUUACCCCUUUUCAUUAUCUGUAUAGUGUGUAUCCAUUUAUGUUUCAAACAUUAAUGGGAACGAGGCGUGCUGGGAUCCAGGCUGGGGCUGUAUUCGUUAGGUGAAUACAUUUGUCCAAGAUUAUUAAAUAAACACAAACUGAUAACCAAAUCAAGGGAAGAUUCAAUUGAUGGUCCUGCUUGUUUCUUUGUCCCAUUUUGUUUUGUACUAGGGUUUUGUCUUUUCAAUUGCAUCAACCAACUUCCAGAUUAUCUCAUGAAGAUCCUAGAGUAGUAAUAUUAUUGUAUGUCUGAGAUGACUUCAAAGUGUCACCUCAAACAUACAAUAAUGAUUUUGACUGAUUCUCAAAAUCCACUGAUUCCCAUAGCAUAAGUCACAGAUCACUUGCACAUACAUUACCUUCAUAGCUGAUAUGGUUUUGCUCUGUGUCCCCACCCAAAUCUCAUGUCAAAUUGUAAUCCCCACGAGUUGAAGGUGGGACAUGGUGGGAGGUGAC